This is a long non-coding RNA of Numida meleagris (helmeted guineafowl), 1681 nucleotides long. RefSeq lists it as uncharacterized. NCBI's taxonomy places the organism in Eukaryota, Metazoa, Chordata, Aves, Galliformes, Numididae. The record is from RefSeq and is a predicted model, not a curated record. The transcript is spliced from 2 exons.
AAGUCUUUUGGGUCUUUGAUUUGGCCCUUACUCUUGCUGAAUUCUUCUGAAUACUUCACACUGAAUAGCUUUUUGAGUAAAGGGCUGCAGGGAGAGGCUCCCUGCCUUCUGAAAUCUGCAUGGCAGAAAGCAGGUGUUGGGGAAAACAAGCUAAAGGGAACUUACCAUAUUUUGAACUGAAGCUGUACUACCUGUCAGGAGGCACUUGGAAGCACUAGCUAAACAACCUUUCCCCCACACCACAAAAGGACCACACAGCUGGCACCUGGAGAGAAAAAGGCUGCCAAACCACAAGCUGACACUGAUAAGAUUGUAAUGCUAUGUUGUUGAUGGUCUUUUUUUUUCCCGUUCUACCUCCUCCAUCCUCUUUGAUGACAACAGCGCAGUUGUUAGCUGCACAACCCUGAGGGUUGUUUUCUCUGAGAGUGGCUGUUCCAGCUACUCCUGUUAUUUGACCGCAGGUUAGGUGAGUGCUGCAGCCAAGCCCAGGGGCACACUGACAAGUGGGGAACAGCAGGUGCUGUCCCCUGGCCUAUCGCCACCCAGCUGAUUUCCAACCACCACCCAGUACUUUUUUAGCAAAGCUCAAGCCCUACCCCACUGAAUCUACACCCUCCAGGACUGCAAGUGGACUUCAGUUCCCACCAGUAUGAAUUUAGAACAAUUGAAGACAAGCAAAUUGAUGUUAUACUGCAGCACAGAAAUGACGUUCUACUGCAUUGAGAAGGGGAGUGCAAAAGGGAGGAGGCAGGAAACACAUCAAGUGACACUGGACUAGGACAGCAGACAAGCUGCCACAACAGAGUCCUGAAGAACCUAGAUGAGUAGUAAAAUUACCAGUACCGUGCUCUUAAAAUACUAAGAACAACAACUCAUGCUGCAGCUCAAAAUCUUCGCCAGUAUAACUGAGAAGGAAUGCCAAGUGAAGGAGGAAACUGCAGCAAGUCAUUUAGGAAGUGGCACUCUGAAUUGACAGUGGAUCAAGACAGGACAACCUCAGUACAAACAUUCCACUCCAAGCUACAUGAACUUUAUGGAAAUUCAAAAUAACAUUCUGAAUUUCAGCAGUCCAAAAUUUUACUGUGAUUUUUGGAAAGCUAAAACACAGCUGGUUAAACAUAAAUGGCCUUUGUGUUCCCUUGCUACAAUUGUUCACGUUGAAGUUCAUCAAACCAUUCUGCUGAAACCUUGGCAAACUGGAAUGCCAGGCAGCAUGGCACCUCAAAAGCGAUUUUGAGUUCACUACAACAACAUAUUUAAAACACACCAGGGUAAUGGGCUAAAUACAGUAUAAAAGCUCCAACUUCGUAUGCGAUGAGCUUUAUUAAGUACAGGUCCAACUGCAUCUUGGCCAGACGAGUGUGGUCUGUACAGGUACACUACUUUGAAGUUUUUCUGGUCCUCUAAGACAAUUGGCAUAAGCUUUAGAACAACUUAAGUAUUGAUUUGCUGUACACUCUGUGGGUUUUUUUCCUUUAAUUUGUGAAAGCCUAUAAUUCUGAAAAUGGCAACCAAAACAUUCCUUACUCCACUGAGCUGUUUAAAGCAGGCCAAAUUCUGAAAGCUAGUGGUUGAGGGGACAGAUCAUCUGCUGAUGUAAGCCAGCAUGGUGCUAGUAAUAUGGCAGUGGAGUAGUGCCAGUUUACAUCAGCUAAUAAACCAGCCAUACUGUCACAACAGA